RNAcentral lists this ribosomal RNA (462 nucleotides) under uncultured bacterium. RNAcentral describes it as "partial 16S ribosomal RNA". It matches the Rfam family "Bacterial small subunit ribosomal RNA", at positions 28 to 507 of the family's 1533-position model. The record is from RNAcentral.
GACGAACGCUGGCGGCGUGCUUAACACAUGCAAGUCGAGCGGAAAGGCCCUUCGGGGUACUCGAGCGGCGAACGGGUGAGUAACACGUGAGUAACCUGCCCCAGACUUUGGGAUAACCCUCGGAAACGGGGGCUAAUACCGGAUACGACACAGCUUCGCAUGGGGUCUGUGUGGAAAGUUUUUCGGUUUGGGAUGGGCUCGCGGCCUAUCAGCUUGUUGGUGGGGUGAUGGCCUACCAAGGCGACGACGGGUAGCCGGCCUGAGAGGGCGACCGGCCACACUGGGACUGAGACACGGCCCAGACUCCUACGGGAGGCAGCAGUGGGGAAUAUUGCACAAUGGGCGGAAGCCUGAUGCAGCGACGCCGCAUGAGGGAUGACGGCCUUCGGGUUGUAAACCUCUUUCAGCAGGGACGAAGCGUAAGUGACGGUACCUGCAGAAGAAGCGCCGGCCAACUACGUG